Molecule: long non-coding RNA, 3102 nt
Organism: Lemur catta (Ring-tailed lemur)
Lineage: Eukaryota; Metazoa; Chordata; Mammalia; Primates; Lemuridae
Exons: 9
Source: RefSeq, a predicted model, not a curated record
CUGCGCCCCCCGUGACGCCUCCUGCGCCCCCCUGACGCCGCCUGCGCGCCCCCUGGGUUUUCGGCGACAGUGAAGGAGAGUCCCGGCUGCAGCCGCGUCCCUAGCCGGCGGGCGGCCGCACCGCUGCCCUUAACUGCGAGUCUCCGGUAAGGCAUUUAGCUAGAAGGGGCUUCAGUUCCCCACUUCAAGCCACCACUUUGAAAUCCCUCGAAAAAUCAACCACAGCAACCACUUAAAAAUGAAAAAAAUAACUCUGAUGAAGUAAAAUUUCCUUCCUUUUGAUUUAUGUCUGUGGAUAGAAGGCCAACGCUGUCAGAACACACACUCUGUGCCGGUCACAUAAGCUGCUGCAGGAGGCUCCUGUGUCGGGGGGUCCCCAUUCUUCACCCUCCACAGAUGCAUCCCCUUCUCCACGUGGAGACUCCUCAGUUUCUUCCAUUGAAGAGACAGCGCUGCUUCUCUGGACCCUUGACUCUGAGUCAGGCCAUGUGACUUGUUCUGGUCAAUGGGAUGCCUGCUGAUGUGACACCUGAGGAGGCUCAGGACAGACUUGUGUUUUUCUGUGCCACUGCUGUGAGCGUGUGCCUGGGCUCUGGCUGAGGGAUGAGGUGUGAGGUGAAUCAUCCCAGAUGGGGCCAUCCUGGACCAUCCAACAGCAGCUUCUCUGGACAGGGUGUUCACAAGAAUGGAAGCAGUGUUUCCUUGCUAGAUUCCUUAUUGCUAUAUCUCAUGAACCUACGUAAUCUUGGGGAAAAGCCUGUAUUUCAUGAUGACAAACCUGUCACCAGUAUAGCAACAACAGUUUUUCCAAGAUGAACCGAUACACAACCAUGAGGCAGCUGGGGGACGGCACCUAUGGGAGUGUGCUUAUGGGCAAGAACAACGAAUCCGGGGAGCUGGUGGCCAUCAAAAGGUAACCGACAUUGGGAUGGAAGAGGAGAAAUAACAAAAUUCAAGAAAGCAAUUUCUAAAGGAUGAAGAGAAAGUUCUAUUCUUGGGAUGAAUGUAUGAACUUAAGAGAAGUUAAGGGCAAUGGUAGUUUGGCUAAGCAUGGGGUUUCCAGGCUGCUGGUUUUUUCUCUGCAUGGUCUACACAAGUUACUCCACUAUCUUCAGUUUCUGGUGUCACAGAUGAGAAAUUCGCUGCCAGUCUGAUACUUCUUCAUGAGUCUUCCACUUGACCAACUAGGCUACCAAUUCAAGUCUCAAGAAUGAUCAUCAUUUCCUUCAUUUACUAAAAUGUUUGAUUGGAAAAUUAUGCAUUUCAUCCCUAGAAAGUCUUCUUGUGCUGCAUUUACGUCUCCUUAUGUGCUUUUUCUAUUUUUUGUCAGGUUGUCAUCUGUCUCUGGCUGCUGCUCGAUGGCAUUAAGGAUGGGUUCUAUCUGUUCUUACGGACUGUCUUCUCCGGCUGUGGUGCCAUCAUCUUUCUUUGUUACAUCAUGGGGGUUCAGGUCUCACUGCUGAGCACCCAUGCGACUGCAGUUCCAUGAGUGGUGGCGAGCACCUUGCUCUCUGCUCCUGUGACCCAGCAGUGCAACAGCAGGCAGGCUGCUAGGGCUCUGCCAGGGCAACAGAAGACUUUCUGCUCCAUAGCCUCAGAGACAGGAAGGACUCAAUCCAACUGCUGAUUUUCUCCUUGGUCUCUUGUGGAACACACACACAAUGGGGUGAUGUCAAUUUUCAGUUUUCCUCCCAGGAGAUCCCCAACCUCUGGAGGUGAAGCUCAUCAGAGUAUCCAAUGCAUUCUGAUCCUCCCAUAGGACUCAUCUGAUGCCAGCCCUCAGUGCCAGCCCAGCCCAGCCCAGGAAGAAAGCUCCCAUCUGCUCCCCACUCUCUAUCCUCAACUUCCACAAAGCUUGGGGCUUCACCUUCACUCAGGAUUCUAGCAGUGGUUUGGGUCAGGAGAGAGGAAGAGAGUAUAGGCCUGAGAGAAGCAGGAGUGCAAGCUACUUUAGCUUGCUAUCUUCCCAGAAUCCUCACCAACUAUAAUUCUGUGGGGUUUUUUGUUUUUGUUUUUUUUACCAAAUAUUUAUCCAGAUGGGAAACAUGGGAAUUUGUGAUAAAAGUUUAAAUUGUGGAAAACAUUGGCAAUACUAAUGUUCAGUGACUAUUACAUAAAGAUGCAUAUCAAACUGAUAUUCAUCUCUAAGUUCAUAACUAUUUUUAAAAUUCACAUAUUAGAAUUCUCCCUUUUGUACGUUCUUUUGUUUUCCCUCCUCUACAGCAAACCAUCUGACCCCAAGAAUCCAUAAACCGGACACCCCAGGGUAUAAGAAUCGUUUUAUUUUUCCCUUGGCUAUCUUUCCUAAGUUCUACCUUUUAAUUCACAGUGUAUUGCUAUAUACCAGUUAUAUCAAAAAGCCAUUAGAUAAGAAUUCUUCAUAGUUUUCUAUUUCAAAAACAUACAUAUAUUUUUUUUUUAGACUUAGACUUUCUUGAGUCUUUCCUAUUUGGAUCUUGAACUGUUUGGGGUCUUCCUCCCUAAUUUUUCAUGAUAUAAUUCUUCUAUUUUAAAUUUUAAAAUUUACUAGCAGACUGUAUUACCUAAAUAUCCUUUGCCCUACCCUCUAUCCUGUGUGGUAAGUUGUUUGCAAAUAUGGCUAUAAUGAUUCUCCACAGUCCUGUACAAACAGCGUUUGCAUUGUGACUUUCUUUUCAUCCCAUCAACAGGUGGAGGAAUCUGUUUCCCCACCCUUUAAAUCCUGGCCUUGUGACUUGCUUUGACCAACAGAAAGAAGUUGCUUCAACUUCAUGCCCUCAAGGUGCCUUGCAACUUCUGCUCUCCUGCUCUCGCUCUCUUGGACCCCUGAGAUCACCGUGUGAAGCAGCCCAGGCUGGUCUCCCUGAAGAUGAAAAACCAGAAAGAGAGAGAGAAGCCCAGAGAAAAUCCAGCAGCAACACCCAUCAAGUGAAUGAGUCCAUCAUAGACCAUCCAGAUUCAACUGAACCACGUAGGACAGCACCCAUUUGAAUGAGUGACUCCGAGACGGACCAGCAGAAGAGUCAGUUGCACUGAGCCCCGAAAAUGCUGAUCCAGACUUACAAGCAAAUAAAAUGGCUGUUGUUUAAAGCUACUAAGCUUUGAAACAAUAGAUAACCAAAA